UGGGAAGUAGCUCAGUUGGUAGAGUGUUUGUCUACCAUGCCUGAAGCCCUGGNUUCAAUCCCCAGCAUCACAC
Molecule: transfer RNA, 73 nt
Filed under: Neotoma lepida (desert woodrat)
Lineage: Eukaryota; Metazoa; Chordata; Mammalia; Rodentia; Cricetidae
Rfam family: tRNA
About the family: Transfer RNA (tRNA) molecules are approximately 80 nucleotides in length.
Source: Rfam by way of RNAcentral